Molecule: ribosomal RNA, 497 nt
Filed under: uncultured bacterium
Lineage: Bacteria
Description: partial 16S ribosomal RNA
Rfam family: Bacterial small subunit ribosomal RNA
Source: RNAcentral
GAUGAACGCUGGCGGCGUGCCUAAUACAUGCAAGUCGAGCGAACGGACGAGAAGCUUGCUUCUCUGAUGUUAGCGGCGGACGGGUGAGUAACACGUGGCUAACCUACCUAUAAGACUGGGAUAACUUCGGGAAACCGGAGCUAAUACCGGAUGAUAUUUUGAACCGCAUGGUUCAAAAGUGAAAGACGGUCUUGCUGUCACUUAUAGAUGGAUCCGCGCUGCAUUAGCUAGUUGGUAAGGUAACGGCUUACCAAGGCAACGAUGCAUAGCCGACCUGAGAGGGUGAUCGGCCACACUGGAACUGAGACACGGUCCAGACUCCGACGGGAGGCAGCAGUAGGGAAUCUUCCGCAAUGGGCGAAAGCCUGACGGAGCAACGCCGCGGGAGUGAUGAAGGUCUUCGGAUCGUAAAACUCUGUUAUUAGGGAAGAACAUAUGUGUAAGUAACUGUGCACAUCUUGACGGUACCUAAUCAGAAAGCCACGGCUAACUACGUG